Molecule: long non-coding RNA, 6975 nt
Organism: Corvus hawaiiensis (hawaiian crow)
Lineage: Eukaryota; Metazoa; Chordata; Aves; Passeriformes; Corvidae
Exons: 3
Source: RefSeq, a predicted model, not a curated record
CUCAGUGUGAGUCCCAAAUUACAGUGAAUGGGCUAAAGUUCCUCACUGUCUGGUUCUGCUCCACUGUGGAAAAACAUGUAUGUAUUUCUUAAUGCUGAUAGCUCAGAAGGAGAAAAUGUCCUUUAUGAAAUUCAUCACACGGUCCAUUUCUGGUCCUCAUAAAACACUCGGGGCCAUGGUUUUACACCACUGCAAAUGUACCUGCACUCUGUGCAGAUGUACCCUGUCCUGAGCCACCUGCUUUGUGACCUGUAUGUAUGCUGAGUUCUCCCCGUUUGAUCUGGAAGUGCAUGGUCUUUUAUGUCUUCCUAGAUCAAUUCGAAAUUAAGUCCUCAGGGAACAUUAUUCUUCAGCCAUAACAAUGGUCAUUGCCUGGCAGAUUAUUUUAUCUCCUCUAAUACCCUACUUGGCUUUCUAUGCAUGGUAAUAGUUCAUCAGGUUAUGCAAUUCCAAGAGGGGUUAAUGGAUCCAUUGUGAUAAGUUAUCUCUGCAGUUCUUGAAAUCAACAGGUGUGCACUAGUUUGCAUUUGGGGAAAGGUUAGUUGCUGCUAGGGCUGGGAACCUUCUUGGAGAAUACUCUACCACGAGACCCUUUUAGUGUAACUGGUUAGCUACUUCAAGGGUCUCCUAAGAAGAUGUAAAAAUUGCCACUUCCACCUUUAGGAACAUUCCAAGAACUUCAGGACUAAAUGCAAGCCAACUUGAUCCCAGCCCAAAAAUUUCUAGAUAGUUAGGAUGUCCUGCAGGACAAAGGUAGGAUGCUGUGGUGUGUGUAAAAUGCUCCUUGGAAAGUGGACUGUAUGUGAUGGAGGUUUUCUGAGAGCCUGUGCUUUACCUGGACAACACAGUGCAAAGAGCUCCCUGUAGGGUGGCUGGGUUCCAUCUCAAAGGGGGAAGCUGAAGCAAACUGCAGCCUGGCUGUAGUUCCUGUGAGCAGGCUCUUCCUGCUAGACCCUGUCCUCUUGCUGCAAGCUGUGGGUACCUGCAGGUGCAGGUAUUUACCUGUGACAUGGAGGAAGAAAACCAGGGAUCACCCCCAUGCCUCCCUGUUGUUCCCAUGUAACUUAUUACCAUUUUCUGCAGGAGAAGCUCCAAUCUCCUCUCUCCAUGCCAACCAUGCUUUAAGCACGCCCUGUAGGAGGACAAGUCGUUGCCAGCUGCACGUCUGAGCUGUAGCCAUCAUUCUAUUGUAUUUUCAACAGAGGAGCAAACACAUGGAGAGAGAUGGAAAUGGGGGGAGUAGAGAAGAGUCUGAUGUGGCAGAGGAUGUUCAGAGACCUCCUUAUUUGCUGUCCCAUACUAGCAUUCCAUGAAGAGGCUCUGCUGCCCAGCAGCUGAUUCCUAUCCCUUAGCUUCUAUGCUCCAAGUCCACUCCACAACCUGUUUUUCUGUAACUCCUCCCAAUCCAGCAUCUUGUGAGGAGUUUUAAGGCACAGUUUGCUCAUUUGCUUCGGGCUUGGAGCACAUCCAGUUUGCUCACGUGCUCUGGCAAGAGAGCAACGCGUGCCCCGAGCUGCGCGUGAUCCCGAGCUAAGCAAAGCACGGCUGUGUCUGCGGUGCCCGUCCCGGGGAGAAGAGCAAGUGCAAGGAGGCUCUCUGGCAGGAGUACACGAGCCUGAUAUGUGAUAGCCUUCAGUGACAACUGUGAAAGAAGGUUUGAUGGACUUGCCAUAGCUCACAGAACAGAGAGCUCAGGCAGGAGAAGGGCUUGUGCUUCUAGGAACAGGCAGGCAAAGAUGUCCAUCACCUGUGGGGCAAGCCAGCCAUCCCAGGCACUCUUGCCCUGCUAUGAGCCCCCAGCACUCAUCAGGGUAACAGGCAAAAGUCACCUCACUUCCAGCUUCACUGCUAGACUGGUCCUUACAAAACUAGCCAGUGUGCUUGCCUGAGAAACUGGAGAAAGGCAGAGGGUUUUACAAGUCCUUGCCUCCAACCCUGCAUCUUAACUGACAGCAAAUAGUCUGAACACCUUUAACACAUGAGACUUUUAAAGUCCCAUAGCUGCUCUAGCUCCCUACCCUACUGUUUCAGUGCCUUUGCAGAUUUUAUAUUAAACCCCAGAAAACAGAUAGGGAAAUGCAUUUUUUUCCCCCUUUACAUCUGAGUUACUAAUUCAAAAAAACCUUAUUUCAUCGGAGCUAGAAAUAAAUACUAGCAGGUUUUUGGUUGAUAAUGAGUAUCCUUUAAAGAACAAAGGAAGCUGAAUAAUGGAGCCUGGAGCCUGUCACAUGCAAUACUUGUUAGUAAUAAUUUCUGUUAGCUGUUCAGGGAAGCGCAUUUCUCAAUUUCAGAGCUUAAAUGACUUAACCAGACUUUUUACGAGGACGCGGUAUCUAGCAACCCUGACUGCAAAACAAUGCAAGUUUCUAGAGGCAAAGCAUUGGCUGCUGGUUGUUGUUGAUCAGUAACAAUUCAGGAGCUUUUAUAAAAUGCAGAUGUGAUCUCAGUUCUUUCUCUAGGAAACAAAAACAAUGAAGUUUCAGCCUGGCCUGACUAGCAAGUAAUGCGUGCUGCCAUCCUAUCAACACAAGUUUGCCUUCUCUCUUAAAUCCCACAAAAACACCUUCAGAAGCAACUGAGGAAAAGUGGGUCAGACAUCUGAGGAUUCUUGCUGUUAAAAACUUGCAGAAAUCUCAGAUUAUCACAAUAAUCAUCACAAUGUACUUCUCGAGGACACCUGAUGAGAUGAGCGGUACCUUACACUGCCUGCGUGACUUCUUCACUUAGUGACCAAGGGAUUCCUCAUAUGGAAGCAUUUGUGAUCUUUUCCCUUUGCUGAUGUUUGUUGCACAAUGAGGCUGAUCACUGCCAGGACAACAGCCUGGGCUUUGUUGGGCAGUGUGAUGUAAUGGGCAUUCUUAGUAGUUUUUAUGCAAGCACCUUUUUUUCCCUAGCUGCUGCUGGUGCGUGUAAACUACUUGGCAAACAAUGAAACACUAAAGUGAUGUGUUCUCUUUUUAUUUCAGUAACUUUUAUGUCUGCUAAGGAUUAGUUCUUGGUAAGUUCUUCUUUGAAAGAUUACUUUCAAACUUUCAAGACUUACAGCUUGGCAGUGAUGGGAAUAUGACAUAUGUACACUUUUUAGUGAAACUCUUCACUGUAAGUCCUGCAAAGCAGUAUCUGUCCUCCAAAGACCUCAUCUGGCCUGACUUUUCCAGCACCGAUACAGCACUUCUGCUGGAUCCCUAAGGACAGCAUGAGGACAGGGAGAAAAUGUGCCUACCACUUGUGCCUGUGGAGAGAUUUAGGAAAAUACUUGAUGGCUGGGUCACUUAUCCCUUCUGCUUCCUAUAAAUGCUCUGUGGCUGCAACUGCGAUAAAAGGGAAAUUCCUAAGUAUCCUUGAUGCUGUUCCACUGCUUCUAGUAGCAUUGGACAAGUGAAGCCACUGCAAGCCUUUGAUCGCCCCUGGGGUACAGGAGGAAUGCCAGCAGCUGCUCUAGAUUAUGCUCCCACCACUCCCGUGGCUGUGGAGAUGUGCUCACACUGCACUGAGGCACAGGGGCUUCCCCAGAGGCCAGCCUCAGUGGCCAUCUCGGUCCACCCCUGUCCCCAUGCCACCUUGGGACAGGUGCAGAGCCCCGGGCUGUGGCAUCCCCUGGAAUGCCACUGCCACAACCCAUGUGCUGGGUGCUGUGGGAUGCUCCUCCAGGGCGGGUGGCUGUACAAAGAGUGAGAGCCUGCUCAGCAGUUUAACCCCCUCUGGUUUAGGUUGUAGUCACUGAGUGAGGCUGUGGUGGAUGCUGUACUAGAAGCAGUAGCCACACAGAGAGUAGAGGAAGCAAAACCUCACAACAUGAGAGCCAAAUUAGCCAGGCUAUUUAUACAUCUGUGGCACAGCACUAGAAGUACAACCCCCAAUGUGCCCUUUUUCCUUUUGGUGUCCAGUUCAGGAGCUGAGUUGCUCCAUUAGCACCCAGGGAGUGCUACUUAUGAGCUGAAAAUCCCUGUGGAGGAUGACGAGCUCCUUUGGAGGAUCAGAAACUGCUGGGAAAGGGAAAGAGAUGCUCAGUUUGAAAAGUAAUCCUCCUAAUCCUUCGGAAAGGUAAUCCUCUAGUCUUUACCAGUGUCAUUUACGUAGGCACUGCCUCAUGAGCUUCCUCUCUUUUGGGCGCUGUCUUCAUGCUCGAGUUUGGUGUUAGCAGGGCUUGCAUCAAAUUGAGCCAGAAGCCAGUUUAUUUCCUCCCCUGACACUCUGUUUACUGAUUCAUCACUUUCUUCUAGCAGCAGUGUCUCAGUUUUUGCUCCUGACUGUCUCUGCUCUGGCACAUGCCCGACCUGGGAGCUGGUGAGUGCUGCCUCUCAGAUCCCCAGCCAAAGGUCAGUAGCUGCAUGGUGGCCUCUGGAUUCCUCAGAUACCAACCCUUGUCAUGUGGGGAGGCAUUAACCUUUGGCCCCGAGUAAGUGUCCUCAUAUCUCACCUCUGUUAGUCUAGCCUGCUAUUUGAUCCUGUCUAAUACAAAGCCCUUUCCUUUGGCAUCCUGAAAAUGUAAGCCCUGUCUUGAUGAUUUCCAGCACACCAUCCACCUGAUACUGGUGGGAGAUACCCUCUGUGUUGCAUCCAGGGCUGAGUAAGCAGUGGAAGUAGAGGCAGCUCGAGAAGAGCUGAUUGUGUGUUCGCAGCCCCUCCUGCCUCCCAAGGGAGCAGUGGUGGUGGCUCCCUCUGUGUAACCUCUCUUCUUCACCCAGAACAGGGAUAGCUACUCUGGAAGGAUACUGCCUGUAUCACGCAACAAAGAUGUUUCAAGAGUUUGAGGUUUGUGGGUUUUUUAACUCCUGAUUCGGGGGGAGGGACUCACUGAGAGUCCCUUACUUUGAAUCAGGCUCUUGGGACAGAGUUAGACUCAUCUCUAGAUCUUAGCAUGCUCCAAAAAUGUGAGAUUUCUCUUGUGUCCUUUUAAUGCAGAACUUGGUCAGGGGUUCACCUCAGUGCACCACCACUAUUCCUGCCAACUCCCACGUUUACUUGAUAUGUAACCUCACACAUCUCCCUUGGGCCCAUCUCAGGGCUGUACAGGAGUUCUUAGUUCAGCUCUGAUGAAUGAUCAUUUUACAUCUGUGCACUGGACAAACAGCUGUUUUCCGUGUUACCUGCUUUAGGAGCCUCACUGGCAUGUUGUUUCUUUCCUUGCCUCCAGCAACAAGCAGACACAAGUGACCAAUUGCAACAGGGCUGCACCAGCAUCUCCUUGCAGUCGGGACAGUGUGAAAAAUGCACAUCAUUUUUACACAGCACACCAUAUGUCAAAUGGCUGCAAGAUAAAAUAGCAGGGAGUGGGCACUGGCAGUCUCUAUUCCAUAUCUUUUGCUAUUCAAAAGGGUGAAAGCAACACAGGCUUGGAGAUGAGAGUCCCAAAGUGGCCAAUCCCCUUUGGUCACAACACUUCCAGCUGCAAGGCCCUUCUGGGGAAGCUCUUCCUUUGAGGUACAUCUCACCUGGGCAGGAGCCAACAUCAUGAGGAGGAAAUUAUUAGCUUGUAAAGAGAACCCCACAGGUAAAGUCUGACCUCCUGCUGGUUUCUUUUCUUGCAGGUAUUUCCCGUGGAUGCUUUAAAAACAGAUGGUAUUGUGGGUUUUGCUGGUGCCACUUGCUAGUGGGCAAUGCUCUGUGUCCAAAGGAACAGAAAUUUAGAAGAGUAGGCUUUAAAACAUCCCAUUGAUGCUUUUUAGCCUACCUGCAUUCUUUUUCAUGUGUGCCAGAGUGCUUUAAAAAGCCAGAUAAGCUCAUCUUUGCGUGGGUUAGUCCUUGUCCUGGAGCUGGCAGCCCAGGAGGAGGACAGUGUUGGUGGGAGCAGAGUGGUGCUGCCAAAGGAUGUGAACCCCACUUGAGCGCCUGUGCUUUAUGAGCAGAAUUUUUGUCAGGGCUGGCGGGAUUUACAGCUGUGUUCAACUCUUCAUUCCACAUUUCAUUCCAAGAUGCUGCAAGCAGACCACAGGGCAGGCUUUUCCUCUCAGUAGGCUCUCAAUUUGCAGUGGCCAUUUCUUUUGUCUGCUUUGCAGACUAAAAAAAACUUUUUUUCAUCUUCUGCCUUUCUUUUCCCAAAUUGCCACUGAACUGCUGAUGUUCAUAUGUACAUUGGCAGAUCGAGAAAUCUCCUGAUGUAUGGUGAAACAUCAUAUUCUGCCAAGCUCUACCAGCCUAUCACUUCCAUACCACCUUCCAUACCACCUUGCCUUUGGAACUUCAUCGUUAGGUUUACUCAAGCUUGUGCCCAAAUAUCUACCUUUUAUGAAAGUCCCAUCCUUCUACCCUACCAGUUUUCCAUGCCUUCUGUCAUCUUGUACAAUGAGGCAACAUGAUGUUAACCUCCUCUCUCCGAGGCAUUGUGUAGCAUCUCUGCAAAUCAAAUGGUGGUGAUCCAGUUUGGGAUUAGGAAAUAGAAAGAAGUGAACAAUUCCUUGUUUACAUAAGACUGGGAAAACUCUUGGGGCAGAGCUGGGGCUAGAACACAGAAUAAAUCAUGGGACUGUCUGUCAUAACAAGAAAGGGGAGCUUGCAGCAACUUCUUUUUCUGAGAUGAUUUGUUAAAUCUCCUGUAAUUGGUUUAGUAAACACUAAUAGAUAGGAAACAAAACAAAAUGUUCUCUUCCAGCUUUCUUAGGCUGCAUGGUAUCUCUCACAGCCAUAUGGGAUUAAUGGUGGCUGUAGGGUAGGAUUGUGUCAUAAAACUUUUAUUAAAUGUUUUAAAGCCAAUUAAAGAGACAUUGCCAGUUUGAGCUUUCUAAGAUUUUACAAAGUAAAUUUUUUCCAUUGUAGUCAAAGGGCCUUUGAAGUGCUAGAUCCUGAAAUUUUUAACCAUUUAAGAAGUAAAUUGCUGUAUGUUCUCUGCUGAUGCUGAGCCAAUACUGUGACAGAAAUUCAACUAGUUAUGCACAGUACUGUUUUGGGCAGACAACAAAUAAAAUGCUCCAAAGUAGAAAUUAAUUUUUCCUAUCUUCUUUCAUUUACAGAAGUAUUUUGAAUCUUAAUCGAAGC